CCUCCCCAACCCACACGCCAUCAACCUCCAGACCCUCUCGCCGUGGCUUAGAGGUGUCUCUGACAACGUGGCACACUGGGAAGGCCUUCUUUCCUGCUACCAAUACAAAUGCAUUCUGAAUUUGAUAUGUCAUUAAAUGUAAAAAUACAGCCAAUUUGAAACAAGCAAAUGGAAAUUCCCAGGAACCAAAAACAGAAAGAAAAAUCAGAGCUACCGCAGUGCUGUCCCUGCAGACAGAAUUUGGGAGAGGUACUCAGAGUCACCUCCUGUGAGCCUAUGCAAGCCAGCUCCUGCACAACCCUGGUUUUAGUCCAGCCUUCUGCAGAAUUCCACAUUAAACAGGAUGAAGAAUAGGUUGUUAGCAGACUGAGGUACUUGGGGCAACAUUUCGUACACAACAGGAGGGAGAAACGACUCCAGGUUGUCUUGUGGUAGAGGAGAUUUUGCCUUGCAAUUUUACAUACUUAUGCUACGUGGAAGGCUGGGUGGCGUGACUUCAGAAAAAUGUUUCCUCAGGAAAGAGACACACAGAGAGAGAGAGAAAGAGAGAAAGAGAGAACCCACCUACCUGUUUUGCAAAAGUCUCAUGAAUCAUCCCUUCCUGUGGUCCUGCUCCCUGAGAUCCUUUCACCGCUCACAGUGGGCUACUUCUAAGAGCGUGCCUGGCACAGGGUCACUGAGAGCAUAGUCUUAAUAAAACAAUGAUGGAUGCU
This 713-nucleotide long non-coding RNA is filed under the name Homo sapiens (human). RNAcentral describes it as "non-protein coding LINC00929:2". The record is from RNAcentral. Lineage: Eukaryota; Metazoa; Chordata; Mammalia; Primates; Hominidae.